AGCGUUGUCCGGAAUUAUUGGGCGUAAAGAGCUCGUAGGCGGUUUGUCGCGUCUGGUGUGAAAACUCAAGGCUCAACCUUGAGCUUGCAUCGGGUACGGGCAGACUAGAGUGUGGUAGGGGUGACUGGAAUUCCUGGUGUAGCGGUGGAAUGCGCAGAUAUCAGGAGGAACACCGAUGGCGAAGGCAGGUCACUGGGCCACUACUGACGCUGAGGAGCGAAAGCAUGGGGAGCGAACAGGAUUAGAUACCCUGGUAGUCCAUGCCGUAAACGUUGGGCACUAGGUGUGGGGCUCAUUCCACGAGUUCCGCGCCGCAGCUAACGCAUUAAGUGCCCCGCCUGGGGAGUACGGCCGCAAGGCUAAAACUCAAAGGAAUUGACGGGGGCCCGCACAAGCGGCGGAGCAUGCGGAUUAAUUCGAUGCAACGCGAAGAACCUUACCAAGGCUUGACAUACACCGGAAUCAUGCAGAGAUGUGUGCGUCUUCGGACUGGUGUACAGGUGGUGCAUGGUUGUCGUCAGCUCGUGUCGUGAGAUGUUGGGUUAAGUCCCGCAACGAGCGCAACCCUCGUCCUAUGUUGCCAGCACGUUAUGGUGGGGACUCAUAGGAGACUGCCGGGGUCAACUCGGAGGAAGGUGGGGAUGACGUCAAAUCAUCAUGCCCCUUAUGUCUUGGGCUUCACGCAUGCUACAAUGGCCGGUACAAAGGGCUGCGAUACCGCGAGGUGGAGCGAAUCCCAAAAAGCCGGUCUCAGUUCGGAUUGGGGUCUGCAACUCGACCCCAUGAAGUCGGAGUCGCUAGUAAUCGCAGAUCAGCAACGCUGCGGUGAAUACGUUCCCGGGCCUUGUACACACCGCCCGUCAAGUCACGAAAGUCGGUAACACCCGAAGCCGGUGG
This 897-nucleotide ribosomal RNA is filed under the name Sanguibacter inulinus. Its description in RNAcentral is "bacterial SSU rRNA". It matches the Rfam family "Bacterial small subunit ribosomal RNA", at positions 537 to 1433 of the family's 1533-position model. Lineage: Bacteria; Bacillati; Actinomycetota; Actinomycetes; Micrococcales; Sanguibacteraceae. The record is from RNAcentral.